Talpa occidentalis (Iberian mole) is the source of this 617-nucleotide long non-coding RNA. RefSeq lists it as uncharacterized. The record is from RefSeq and is a predicted model, not a curated record. The transcript is spliced from 3 exons. NCBI's taxonomy places the organism in Eukaryota, Metazoa, Chordata, Mammalia, Eulipotyphla, Talpidae.
GGAGAGUUAGGUUGCUCUUUCUAGCCUAUAAAUCUAUCACAAGUCAGCAGAAGAGAAAUUUCACCAGACCCAGACUAGAUGGGCACUUUGAUCUCAGACUUCUAUGAUACAGAUGGUAUGACAGACAGAUCCAUGGAAUUCUUUGUCUGGUUGAAGAAGCACCUAAUUUGCAGCCAGGGACAAAACUACAUGUGGCUGAAAUCUAAAUUAGAACACUGCUACUGCUGAAUUCUGGAACAGUUGGUUUCCAACCACCUUCCAAGCAUUCAUUUCAUUCCCUUCUGAUGCUGAUGCUCACAAUAUGUGUCUGUGUGCUGUGUCAAAGAAGUCAAACCUAAGCACUUGUAAGGAAGGACUCCAAAAAAGGAGAUAUUAAACUAUUUGACCUAAAAGUAACCAGAAAUGCUCAGGAAAUUGAAAAAUUGGAAUGUAAGGAAGUGAGUUGGGAGGCUAAAAAGAAGCAAAUGAAAGUUUAAGUAGCAAUGUGAAAAUGAAGCAAUUAUUUACUGUAGAAAAAAUAUAAAACCACAAGUAGUAUAAUACAGAAAGAAAACUUGGAACAUGUGACUUCAAAAGUCAUUUGUUUAAAAAACAAGUAAAUUGAUAUUUACUAAAUA